GGACUACAGGGGUAUCUAAUCCUGUUUGCUCCCCACGCUUUCGUGUCUCAGCGUCAGUACAUGGCCAGAUAGCCGCCUUCGCCACCGGUAUUCCUCCUGAUAUCUACGUAUUUCACCACUACACCAGGAAUUCUACUAUCCUCUCCAGUACUCAAGCCAAACAGUAUCAGAAGCACUUCCCGGGUUAAGCCCGGGGCUUUCACAACUGACUUGAAUGGCCACCUACACACGCUUUACGCCCAAUGAUUCCGAACAACGCUAGGAUCCCUCGUCUUACCGCGGCUGCUGGCAC
This 292-nucleotide ribosomal RNA is filed under the name uncultured bacterium. RNAcentral's name for it is "partial 16S ribosomal RNA". The record is from RNAcentral.